Schistocerca gregaria is the source of this 1318-nucleotide long non-coding RNA. RefSeq lists it as uncharacterized. NCBI's taxonomy places the organism in Eukaryota, Metazoa, Arthropoda, Insecta, Orthoptera, Acrididae. The record is from RefSeq and is a predicted model, not a curated record. The transcript is spliced from 3 exons.
CUCAAGGCAACGAUGGUUUCUAUCUAUCAGGUGGCUAUUUUGAUUUUUCCCAUUCGAUAAAUACCGAUGAAUCAUCUCAGAAAGAUGACCAAACAUUUUUAGGUUUUAGACAUAAUCGCCGUAUUCGUCGAAACUCCUCGCCAAAACCAUUGCGUCCUCUUUCACCUGUAGCAUUUGGCGCUUCGUCCGAAUGCUGCACCGAUCUCUCGGCUCUCUCUAUGUCCAAUCAAAAUAGCUCGUCAAUUCUCAAACAAACUUCUUUUUGCAUCUCGUCUAUGCCUCCUGCUCCAGAAAUCCAUUUUUCUCUGUGGCCAUACUCGAUGAAACUCCACGUGCCGACGCUCACCUCGCGCCUUUUUCGUCCAGCAAGGACUUUUAUAACCUCCGAAAAAUCGGCAUCUUGUUCCUCCCGCCUUAAAACUUAUUUCUCAGGAUCUAUGGAAUCUCUAAAAUACUAUCAAAGGCAUCUCAAACGCAGACGAGAAGCAAGGGUGCUUUUAGACAGUACUGCAUCUUCAAUCUUCUCAGGCUGUUCUGUAUCUUCAAAACACGCCCUUUAUGGCAAUGUUCAUCGAACAAAUUCCCCUUGUAACUUCGUUAAAUCACCAAUUUGUCACGCUAUACCAUCACAACUUAAAACUCCAAACAAUCUUUCUUCUCAACUCAAAAUGACUCAAGCCUGCUUUUCUCGCCGCCUCAUUCCCAAUACUCCCGCACUUAGACUACCUCUAUCUGGGCAGCGUUCCUCCAAGUGAAUACCCAUCUUAUCAAUUUUUACUAAGGUGUGUGGUAUGCACCUCCCAUCUGCUCAUAGAGGCAAGAAAGUAAAAGCGCACUAGCUUCUUUCUUCCAGUUACCUCGAAUUUUCGUGUACACUUUUUUUUUAAGUCGGUCAUCGCGAUCCACUUUUCGUCAUUCUGUCCUGUGCCUCCAGGAACUGGCAACCUAAAAUGUCAACAUGAAGGCCGAGGGUAUGGUCUCCAACUACUCAUCCACAGAAGAUAAGUUACCAAACCCGAACAAUGCUGUACUGAAAUUUCGAAACUAUUUGCCUAAAAGCCGAUAUUUGCUCGAACACCAUAUGCGUCCUCCGCCACCGGACUUGGUUUCCGAAAAGCUAGAAUAUUUCGAAUCUCCUGCAUACCAGAAGUUGCAACAAGAGGAUGACCAGAUAUUGCUGAGUUCGGCGCCCCAAAAACUCAAUUGGGAUCUUCAAAGGGAUCUCGAGCCCAAACUCGUACGCCUUAAUCAACUCACGCAAAAUGCCAUUUCUUCCAUGUUAAGGGAGAAGUUGGCUAAUAAUUCGAAAUAAAGUUCU